This 827-nucleotide ribosomal RNA is filed under the name Lactarius rufus. RNAcentral describes it as "eukaryotic LSU rRNA". The stretch from base 309 to 462 matches the Rfam family "5.8S ribosomal RNA". Lineage: Eukaryota; Fungi; Basidiomycota; Agaricomycetes; Russulales; Russulaceae. The record is from RNAcentral.
CGUUGCUGAGAAGUUGGUCAAACUUGGUCAUUUAGAGGAAGUAAAAGUCGUAACAAGGUUUCCGUAGGUGAACCUGCGGAARGAUCAUUAUCGUACAAAAUGUGAGAGGGGCAUGCGAGGGCUGUCGCUGACUCAAAGUCGUGCACGCCCGAGUGUGUCGCCUCACAUAAUAAUCCAUCUCACCCUUUGUGCAUCACCGCGUGGGCACCCCUUUGGGAUCAUCUCGGAGGGGGCUCGCGUUUUCACACAAAACCCCCCUUUUAAAAGUGUAGAAUGACCUCAUUUAUGCGCUAACCCGCAAUCAAUACAACUUUCAACAACGGAUCUCUUGGCUCUCGCAUCGAUGAAGAACGCAGCGAAAUGCGAUACGUAAUGUGAAUUGCAGAAUUCAGUGAAUCAUCGAAUCUUUGAACGCACCUUGCGCCCCCUGGUAUUCCGAGGGGCACACCCGUUUGAGUGUCGUGAAAACCUCAACCUCCUUGGUUUCUUCUGGAGACCAAAGCAGGCUUGGACUUUGGAGGCCUUUGCUGGCACCUCUCGCCAGCUCCUCUUAAAUGAAUUAGCAGGGUCCUCUUUGCUGAUCCUCGACGUGUGAUAAGAUGUUUCCAUGUCUUGGUUUCUGGCUCUGUCACCUUUGGGACCCGCUUCUAACCGUCUUCAACCUUGCGUUGAGACAACGUUCGAGCAUGUCUCCCUUCUCGGGAAGCUCCCUCGACCCCACGAACCCUUGACCUCAAAUCGGGUGAGACUACCCGCUGAACUUAAGCAUAUCAAUAAGCGGAGGAAAAGAAACUAACAAGGAUUCCCCUAGUAACUGCGAGUGAAGC